AUCACGUAGGCAUUACCAAUCACGAGGAGUCACGUAGACGUAAUUUUAUACUCUAUAGAGAGGUACAAGCGGCGAAGUUCGACGACCAUUAAACGACCUAUUGUUACUAAUUUCAACCAUUAAUUGCGUGUGAAUACAAUGCAGCGAUAUGAUAUUGAAAUAAUUUAUUGUAGCGAUGAAAGUUACUCCAAUUUUCUCGACUUUCCGAGUCGAGAGAGGACGUCGGCAGUAUUUUCAAAUUCGAAAAAUCGAUAGGUUGAUAAGUCACGAAGAUAACGCUCUAUCGACCAAACGUGCGCGUGUACGUCCGAGGCUGAUUUUAGAAAGGAAAUGACUGGGUUGCAAGCAUUUGAGGACGGUAUCCAGAUACGAAAAGGAUGUCUUUGAUAUCCAAGCACACUUCACAUCACUGUCGUCC
Linepithema humile (Argentine ant) is the source of this 418-nucleotide non-coding RNA. The record is from RefSeq and is a predicted model, not a curated record. NCBI's taxonomy places the organism in Eukaryota, Metazoa, Arthropoda, Insecta, Hymenoptera, Formicidae.